Molecule: ribosomal RNA, 539 nt
Filed under: uncultured Geobacteraceae bacterium
Lineage: Bacteria; Pseudomonadati; Thermodesulfobacteriota; Desulfuromonadia; Geobacterales; Geobacteraceae
Description: bacterial SSU rRNA
Rfam family: Bacterial small subunit ribosomal RNA
Source: RNAcentral
GAGUUUGAUCCUGGCUCAGAACGAACGCUGGCGGCGUGCUUAACACAUGCAAGUCGAACGUGAUCCGGAGCUUGCUCCGGUGAAAGUGGCGCACGGGUGAGUAACGCGUGGAUAAUCUGCCCUGGUAUYUGGGAUAACAUCUCGAAAGGGGUGCUAAUACCGGAUAAGCCUACGGACUCUUCGGAGUCUGCARGAAAAGGUGGCCUCUAUUUAUAAGCUUCCGUAUCAUGAUGGGUCCGCGUACCAUUAGCUAGUUGGUGGGGUAAUGGCCUACCAAGGCGACGAUGGUUAGCUGGUYUGAGAGGAUGAUCAGCCACACUGGAACUGAGACACGGUCCAGACUCCUACGGGAGGCAGCAGUGGGGAAUUUUGCGCAAUGGGGGAAACCCUGACGCAGCAACGCCGCGUGAGUGAUGAAGGCUUUCGGGUCGUAAAGCUCUGUCAGAGGGGAAGAAAUGAAACGUGCUAAUAUCACGUUUUCUUGACGGUACCCUCAAAGGAAGCACCGGCUAACUCCGUGCCAGCAGCCGCGGUAAUAC